Corylus avellana is the source of this 471-nucleotide long non-coding RNA. RefSeq lists it as uncharacterized. The record is from RefSeq and is a predicted model, not a curated record. Lineage: Eukaryota; Viridiplantae; Streptophyta; Magnoliopsida; Fagales; Betulaceae.
ACCACAUAAAUUGGUGGGGGAUAACAAUCUUUGCGUUGGCAGGACGAUAAGGCCAACCCAACGUACAUCUUCCGCGUACGUGUGGAGUUUGUAGGUGCGGUCCUCCUUACCCACAUCAUUUGUGGGUGUUACGUGGUGCCAUUUUCAUUUUCGCAUGGACAUUUUGGUACGACACAGAUCACAGACAGAGAGAGAGAGAAGAAGAAGAUCGAAGUCAAUGUGCAUCUGUUUGUUCCUUUGUGGGGGUACUUUGUGGUUUCCUUUGUGUCCAUGGUUGGGUGGACAGAUUGGCCUUGUGGGGUUGCUUUGAGUGGGAUGGACGAUUGGGAUUUUGAUGCAUUCGAUCAAAGAGCAGCACCACCCAUGCAUGCAGAUAUGGACGUUGCGGGUUUUCUUUCUUUUCUUUUUUUGUUGUUAUUUAAUAAAAAAAUUUAUGGUAAUAAUUAUGUUUUGUUGUAUCUUUUUAUUUUA